AAAGAACUUGUGCAAGUGACUCCUGAGACAAGUGCUCUUUGAGUCAUCUGUGUUCUUCCCUUUUAGUUUCUUUCUUUAAAACUUUGUCUGGGAUUUUGAGGUGAUUUUUUGAGCCACUCUAUUGGACACAGCUUGUGCUUAUCCUCUGGUGCCAUCUGCUGCUGACUGAUCCAGGUGACCAUCUGUAAGCAAAGCCCAGACUCUGGCAUACCUCCUGGCAAGAUGUCAUUGUUCAAGUUUUCCAAAGAAUUGAGGUCCUCAUGCUUCUCCAGAUGAUCUCAUGCAAGGGCCUGAAGUUUGCUUCUCAUUAUCAAUCUCAAUGGUGCCAAGAUGCUUGGAGACAAAGAUGCUUUAUGGUGCUGGCAUAUGUGAGGACAGAAGCAUCAGACUGAGUAUGAAGAAUUCCAAGGAAGUUUGCUCCAGCUGAAUCCAGAAGAUGAUCAGUCCUGGUAGGACAUAGCUGAAACUCCAGCCCCUGACCACA
RNAcentral lists this long non-coding RNA (484 nucleotides) under Ictidomys tridecemlineatus (thirteen-lined ground squirrel). RNAcentral describes it as "lncRNA (ENSSTOG00000029547.1)". The record is from RNAcentral. Lineage: Eukaryota; Metazoa; Chordata; Mammalia; Rodentia; Sciuridae.